AGCGAACGUUAGCGGCGGGCCUAACACAUGCAAGUCGAGCGAGAAAGUGGCUUCGGCCAUCAGUAAAGCGGCGGACGGGUGAGUAACACGUAGGUAAUCUUCCCUUGAGCGGGGGACAACGUUUCGUAAAGGAACGCUAAUACCGCAUAAGUUUCCGUAGGACUCUGGUUCUUUGGAAGGAAAGCUAGGUCGCAAGAUCCGGCACUCGAGGAGGAGCCUGCGUCGCAUCAGCUAGUUGGGGGGUAAUGGCCUACCAAGGCGAAGACGCGUAGCUGAUCUGAGAGGAUGAUCAGCCACACUGGGACUGAGACACGGCCCA
RNAcentral lists this ribosomal RNA (319 nucleotides) under uncultured bacterium. Its description in RNAcentral is "bacterial SSU rRNA". It matches the Rfam family "Bacterial small subunit ribosomal RNA", at positions 29 to 333 of the family's 1533-position model. The record is from RNAcentral.